Molecule: long non-coding RNA, 460 nt
Organism: Mustela erminea (ermine)
Lineage: Eukaryota; Metazoa; Chordata; Mammalia; Carnivora; Mustelidae
Exons: 2
Source: RefSeq, a predicted model, not a curated record
AGUCAGCCACUUAACCAACUGAGCCACCCAGGUGCCCCUAUAGUAGAAGUUUUCUUAAUCAGUUUCAAUCAACUUGCUGAAUUAACUGCUGACCUCAUUCUCUCAAAAAUACACUGACUGAAGCCCGUGGUCCCUGACAGCCUCUCCCAGCACUGGCCACUCUGGGCUGCUUGCUGUCUUCUCUCACCUGUUUCUUUGUACGCUUAUCCAGUGUCAGCUGUGUUUGUUCCCAAAUGUGUUUAUGCCAGUUGUAUUUUUUUAAAUUGUAAUUAUGUGAUUUAACUCACUGUACAUAAGCUGUGGAUCUGUGAAUGCAAAAAAAGAAUUGUAAUUUUAAAGAAAACUCUGUUGAAUGCUUUGAGAAGAUUCAAAAGAGGCCGUUGUCAAAAAUUGCAGUGUUUAUGACAAAUGUAAAGACUAACAAAAAGCAAUUAAAAAAACUAGAAGGAUUCUGCACUCA